UCAGUUUCCCGAGAAGGAGUUCUUGUAGUGAAGAGAAGAGAGUAGAGAGAAAGAGGAGAGUGGAAGGGAAGGUUGGAAUUCUUUUGAGAGAGUGAUUGUCACCUAGCAAGUAGUGAUCCCGUUGUCUAAGCGGAAGUAAAAGUUGUUUGGGGGAAGCUCUACCAAAAUAGAAAUUUGUCUUGAACGAUUAACCCCUGGACUACUGACACUCUGGACAACUGACCACUAACAUUUUCUCUCACAUUUUCCACUAGUUGUGUUUUUGCCAACUUUUGUUUGCAGGAUGUUUAAGAAGGUGAAGAAUGC
RNAcentral lists this long non-coding RNA (306 nucleotides) under Sorghum bicolor (sorghum). RNAcentral's name for it is "long non-coding RNA (SBIC_LNC000627)". The record is from RNAcentral. Lineage: Eukaryota; Viridiplantae; Streptophyta; Magnoliopsida; Poales; Poaceae.